GGGUUGUGAGGUUAAGCGACUAAGCGUACACGGUGGAUGCCCUGGCAGUCAGAGGCGAUGAAGGACGUGCUAAUCUGCGAUAAGCGUCGGUAAGGUGAUAUGAACCGUUAUAACCGGCGAUUUCCGAAUGGGGAAACCCAGUGUGUUUCGACACACUAUCAUUAACUGAAUCCAUAGGUUAAUGAGGCGAACCGGGGGAACUGAAACAUCUAAGUACCCCGAGGAAAAGAAAUCAACCGAGAUUCCCCCAGUAGCGGCGAGCGAACGGGGAGCAGCCCAGAGCCUGAAUCAGUGUGUGUGUUAGUGGAAGCGUCUGGAAAGGCGCGCGAUACAGGGUGACAGCCCCGUACACAAAAAUGCACAUAUUGUGAGCUCGAUGAGUAGGGCGGGACACGUGGUAUCCUGUCUGAAUAUGGGGGGACCAUCCUCCAAGGCUAAAUACUCCUGACUGACCGAUAGUGAACCAGUACCGUGAGGGAAAGGCGAAAAGAACCCCGGCGAGGGGAGUGAAAAAGAACCUGAAACCGUGUACGUACAAGCAGUGGGAGCACGCUUAGGCGUGUGACUGCGUACCUUUUGUAUAAUGGGUCAGCGACUUAUAUUCUGUAGCAAGGUUAACCGAAUAGGGGAGCCGAAGGGAAACCGAGUCUUAACUGGGCGUUAAGUUGCAGGGUAUAGACCCGAAACCCGGUGAUCUAGCCAUGGGCAGGUUGAAGGUUGGGUAACACUAACUGGAGGACCGAACCGACUAAUGUUGAAAAAUUAGCGGAUGACUUGUGGCUGGGGGUGAAAGGCCAAUCAAACCGGGAGAUAGCUGGUUCUCCCCGAAAGCUAUUUAGGUAGCGCCUCGUGAAUUCAUCUCCGGGGGUAGAGCACUGUUUCGGCAAGGGGGUCAUCCCGACUUACCAACCCGAUGCAAACUGCGAAUACCGGAGAAUGUUAUCACGGGAGACACACGGCGGGUGCUAACGUCCGUCGUGAAGAGGGAAACAACCCAGACCGCCAGCUAAGGUCCCAAAGUCAUGGUUAAGUGGGAAACGAUGUGGGAAGGCCCAGACAGCCAGGAUGUUGGCUUAGAAGCAGCCAUCAUUUAAAGAAAGCGUAAUAGCUCACUGGUCGAGUCGGCCUGCGCGGAAGAUGUAACGGGGCUAAACCAUGCACCGAAGCUGCGGCAGCGACGCUUAUGCGUUGUUGGGUAGGGGAGCGUUCUGUAAGCCUGCGAAGGUGUGCUGUGAGGCAUGCUGGAGGUAUCAGAAGUGCGAAUGCUGACAUAAGUAACGAUAAAGCGGGUGAAAAGCCCGCUCGCCGGAAGACCAAGGGUUCCUGUCCAACGUUAAUCGGGGCAGGGUGAGUCGACCCCUAAGGCGAGGCCGAAAGGCGUAGUCGAUGGGAAACAGGUUAAUAUUCCUGUACUUGGUGUUACUGCGAAGGGGGGACGGAGAAGGCUAUGUUGGCCGGGCGACGGUUGUCCCGGUUUAAGCGUGUAGGCUGGUUUUCCAGGCAAAUCCGGAAAAUCAAGGCUGAGGCGUGAUGACGAGGCACUACGGUGCUGAAGCAACAAAUGCCCUGCUUCCAGGAAAAGCCUCUAAGCAUCAGGUAACAUCAAAUCGUACCCCAAACCGACACAGGUGGUCAGGUAGAGAAUACCAAGGCGCUUGAGAGAACUCGGGUGAAGGAACUAGGCAAAAUGGUGCCGUAACUUCGGGAGAAGGCACGCUGAUAUGUAGGUGAGGUCCCUCGCGGAUGGAGCUGAAAUCAGUCGAAGAUACCAGCUGGCUGCAACUGUUUAUUAAAAACACAGCACUGUGCAAACACGAAAGUGGACGUAUACGGUGUGACGCCUGCCCGGUGCCGGAAGGUUAAUUGAUGGGGUUAGCCGCAAGGCGAAGCUCUUGAUCGAAGCCCCGGUAAACGGCGGCCGUAACUAUAACGGUCCUAAGGUAGCGAAAUUCCUUGUCGGGUAAGUUCCGACCUGCACGAAUGGCGUAAUGAUGGCCAGGCUGUCUCCACCCGAGACUCAGUGAAAUUGAACUCGCUGUGAAGAUGCAGUGUACCCGCGGCAAGACGGAAAGACCCCGUGAACCUUUACUAUAGCUUGACACUGAACAUUGAGCCUUGAUGUGUAGGAUAGGUGGGAGGCUUAGAAGUGUGGACGCCAGUCUGCAUGGAGCCGACCUUGAAAUACCACCCUUUAAUGUUUGAUGUUCUAACGUUGACCCGUAAUCCGGGUUGCGGACAGUGUCUGGUGGGUAGUUUGACUGGGGCGGUCUCCUCCUAAAGAGUAACGGAGGAGCACGAAGGUUGGCUAAUCCUGGUCGGACAUCAGGAGGUUAGUGCAAUGGCAUAAGCCAGCUUGACUGCGAGCGUGACGGCGCGAGCAGGUGCGAAAGCAGGUCAUAGUGAUCCGGUGGUUCUGAAUGGAAGGGCCAUCGCUCAACGGAUAAAAGGUACUCCGGGGAUAACAGGCUGAUACCGCCCAAGAGUUCAUAUCGACGGCGGUGUUUGGCACCUCGAUGUCGGCUCAUCACAUCCUGGGGCUGAAGUAGGUCCCAAGGGUAUGGCUGUUCGCCAUUUAAAGUGGUACGCGAGCUGGGUUUAGAACGUCGUGAGACAGUUCGGUCCCUAUCUGCCGUGGGCGCUGGAGAACUGAGGGGGGCUGCUCCUAGUACGAGAGGACCGGAGUGGACGCAUCACUGGUGUUCGGGUUGUCAUGCCAAUGGCACUGCCCGGUAGCUAAAUGCGGAAGAGAUAAGUGCUGAAAGCAUCUAAGCACGAAACUUGCCCCGAGAUGAGUUCUCCCUGAC
RNAcentral lists this ribosomal RNA (2804 nucleotides) under Escherichia coli. RNAcentral describes it as "bacterial LSU rRNA". It matches the Rfam family "Bacterial large subunit ribosomal RNA". The record is from RNAcentral. Lineage: Bacteria; Pseudomonadati; Pseudomonadota; Gammaproteobacteria; Enterobacterales; Enterobacteriaceae.